GCCAAUUUUAAGUUGAUUGCGAUGCAGCAAAGAAAUGUGCUUGGAUUUGUGUUGGUGAACAUGUCUGAAUUCUUACUUGUGUACACCGUUUUGUGGAUUUCAACGCACGUCUCUAGGAAAGGUCUUUGCGUGAUUGACUGAAGACAUGCUGCCGAGCUUGCUGUUGCAUGCUGGGGGUUGGGUAAGAGGACAAGUCAUAUUUUGGGAAAACCUCCAGCUGGCACUUGGUGGAGGUCGUGUGUGAGGCCCUGCACCUGCUGCAUACAUCAUCACCCUUGAGGUGGGCCCUGCGAUGAGGAGGCGACUUGUCCGAUUGUAGCUGAGAUAGGCGCCAGCGCCCCCAGGGACCCCGAACGGGAAUAAGCGGCAGAAAAUGGAUGGAUGGAUGGACCCUCACAGUGACAAAGUUUGCAUCCCAGUAUGAGGUGCCUUCUUUAUUUUCUAAAUAUUUUGUAUUUCGAGGGACGUUUAGCAACCGACGCCCUAUUUUCACAUUGCCCUAUUGCAUCAUGUGUCUUGCAGACAUGAACAGGAUUAGCACUUAGUAUACCAUGAAGGUAAAAACCGGCAGAUGGGCUGUGAAUACAACGCAAGGUAAUUAUCACUGUCUUUACAGUCAGCUGAAUGCUGUUGUUGGAAUAUAUUGUAGGCUUGUAAUA
Molecule: long non-coding RNA, 659 nt
Organism: Nerophis ophidion (straightnose pipefish)
Lineage: Eukaryota; Metazoa; Chordata; Actinopteri; Syngnathiformes; Syngnathidae
Exons: 3
Source: RefSeq, a predicted model, not a curated record